RNAcentral lists this ribosomal RNA (443 nucleotides) under uncultured bacterium. RNAcentral's name for it is "partial 16S ribosomal RNA". It matches the Rfam family "Bacterial small subunit ribosomal RNA", at positions 338 to 795 of the family's 1533-position model. The record is from RNAcentral.
CCUACGGGAGGCAGCAGUGGGGAAUAUUGGGCAAUGGGCGCAAGCCUGACCCAGCAACGCCGCGUGAAGGAAGAAGGCUUUCGGGUUGUAAACUUCUUUUCUCAGGGACGAAGCAAGUGACGGUACCUGAGGACUAAGCCACGGCUAACUACGUGCCAGCAGCCGCAGUAAUACGUAGGUGGCAAGCGUUAUCCGGAUUUACUGGGUGUAAAGGGCGUGUAGGCGGGAAAGCAAGUCAGAUGUGAAAACCAUGGGCUCAACCUGUGGCCUGCAUUUGAAACUGUUUUUCUUGAGUACUGGAGAGGCAGACGGAAUUCCUAGUGUAGCGGUGAAAUGCGUAGAUAUUAGGAGGAACACCAGUGGCGAAGGCGGUCUGCUGGACAGCAACUGACGCUGAGGCGCGAAAGCGUGGGGAGCAAACAGGAUUAGAUACCCGGGUAGUC